AGCAGAAAUAAACAUCAAGUUGGUCACAACCAGUUACAGAUUUCUUUGUCUCUUCUCCAUUCCCACUGCUUCACUUGAUUAGCCUUAA
RNAcentral lists this small RNA (88 nucleotides) under Microcebus murinus (gray mouse lemur). RNAcentral's name for it is "Y RNA (ENSMICG00000026013.3)". Lineage: Eukaryota; Metazoa; Chordata; Mammalia; Primates; Cheirogaleidae. The record is from RNAcentral.